GUGGGGAAUUUUUCGCAAUGGGGGAAACCCUGACGAAGCAACGCCGCGUGGGGGAUGAAGGUCCUCGGAUUGUAAACCCCUGUCGACCGGGACGAAAGCUGUUGGUCCUAAUACGACCGACAGUCGACUGUACCGGUGGAGGAAGCCACGGCUAACUCUGUGCCAGCAGCCGCGGUAAUACAGAGGUGGCAAGCGUUGUUCGGAAUUACUGGGCGUAAAGGGCGCGUAGGCGGCCCUGUAAGUCCCGCGUGAAAGCCCUCGGCUCAACCGAGGAACUGCGCGGGAGACUGCAAGGCUUGAGUUCGGGAGAGGGAAGUGGAAUUCCGGGUGUAGCGGUGAAAUGCGCAGAUAUCCGGAGGAACACCGGUGGCGAAGGCGGCUUCCUGGACCGACACUGACGCUGAGGCGCGAAAGCUAGGGGAGCAAACGGGAUUAGAAACCCGUGUAGUCC
Molecule: ribosomal RNA, 451 nt
Filed under: uncultured bacterium
Lineage: Bacteria
Description: bacterial SSU rRNA
Rfam family: Bacterial small subunit ribosomal RNA
Source: RNAcentral